CCUACGGGUGGCAGCAGUGAGGAAUAUUGGUCAAUGGGCGAGAGCCUGAACCAGCCAAGCCGCGUGAGGGAGUACUGCCCUAUGGGUUGUAAACCUCUUUUGUCGGGGAGCAAAAGUCGGACGUGUCCGGCUGUGAGAGUACCCGAAGAAAAAGCAUCGGCUAACUCCGUGCCAGCAGCCGCGGUCAUACGGAGGAUGCGAGCGGUAUCCGGAUUUAUUGGGUUUAAAGGGUGCGAAGGCGGAUUUUUAAGUCAGCGGUAAAAUCGUGGGGCUCAACCCCAUCCAGCCGUUGAAACUGGGGAUCUAGAGUGUGCGAGAGGUAUGCGGAAUGCGUGGUGUAGCGGUGAAAUGCAUAGAUAUCACGCAGAACCCCGAUUGCGAAGGCAGCAUACCGGUGCACAACUGACGCUCAGGCACGAAAGCGUGGGUAUCGAACAGGAUUAGAUACCCCUGUAGUC
This 458-nucleotide ribosomal RNA is filed under the name uncultured bacterium. Its description in RNAcentral is "partial 16S ribosomal RNA". It matches the Rfam family "Bacterial small subunit ribosomal RNA", at positions 338 to 795 of the family's 1533-position model. The record is from RNAcentral.